Molecule: long non-coding RNA, 540 nt
Organism: Grammomys surdaster
Lineage: Eukaryota; Metazoa; Chordata; Mammalia; Rodentia; Muridae
Exons: 2
Source: RefSeq, a predicted model, not a curated record
CAAGGCCGAAUUAACACCGUUUUGCACCCCCAUUUCUGCAUGAGUAGGGCAUGUCCCCCUCAAGAUGGUCCGGGAGCAUGCAUGCAUAUGCUAUUAGGGGUGUAUCUGCGGGUGAAUACCCUACGGACUGCCUCAGAAAACUCGAGCUCUUUGGACCUAGAGAGGAGGAGGUCCCCGUCUUUGCAGAUUAGCGGGAGCUCUGGGCAUCCACAUGAAGAUGCUGUUCACCGGGCUGGCCCAGUUCCAGGAGCCAGAACCGAGUUGUGCCAGUGCUUCUGUUCUUAAGGUGGCCCGCCAUGCCUUGCCUGCCCUUCAGCCUGGCCUUUUUCCUAGGCCGCAUCUGGAAGCUUGUUAGACCGAUGAACCCUCCUGGAAAGAAUGGCCACUCAGCGCUCUGUAAAUAUUCUCUGCUCCCUUAGCUCACACUGGCCUGGGUCCCCGCACCACCGCCCCUCACCUUUGUUCCUUGCUUGCAUACAUCCUAAGAGUGCAUUCAUUGUUAAACAGUAGUUGCUUUCUUCUUUGCCUCUGUCCACUUCA